This is a long non-coding RNA of Odontomachus brunneus, 3823 nucleotides long. RefSeq lists it as uncharacterized. The record is from RefSeq and is a predicted model, not a curated record. Lineage: Eukaryota; Metazoa; Arthropoda; Insecta; Hymenoptera; Formicidae. The transcript has 3 exons.
CUGCAACAUUCAGUAUAUAUGGUCACUUGAAAAUGUGCACGCGUAAUCAGCAAACACGUACAUUUUUCUCGGAACACGGUUUCACGAAUUGGACCGACGAGAAGAUAGAUACUUACACUUUAUCAUCUGUGUGAAAUCGGAAAAGAAAGAAAGUACAGGAAAGAGAGAAUAGUUAAAGAGGAUUAACACGUUUGGAAAAGUAGAAACGAUGUGUCAUAGAGUGGCUAUAUCCCGCAGGAAAGGCUGCAGACACUGCGGCAGAGUCGCUGAACCGUCAGAAAAAAAAAGUUACAAGUAUAUCGUCAACGGGUGCUCAACAAGUAUCGACGCCGAAACGUUCCGAAUCAAUCACGCUGAGCGCCGAUCUGUCGAGACGGCGGGACAUCUUACAAAGCCCCGGCGAUAAAUGACUGCACGCCCUAGACGACACGCGUUAUAAAGCGCAAUGACGAGAGCGAAACGGAACGGCGGGGAAAACGGGCGCGUAGGCAAAUGCACAUUGCUCCGUUCGACCUCUCGUGAACGUGAGUAUGUAAAGGAGCGAGAGAAGGACGAGAGAAGGGGGAGAAGGAAAAGGAGAGUGGGCGGGCGACGAGAAACAAAGAGAGAAGGGGAUAAUUCGCGAGAACGGGAGGGAAUCGCGCCGAUCGCUUCGCGAAGGCAUACGCCGGUAUUCUCCUACGCGGGGUCGGCCGUACGAAUUUUUCUGCAUCCCUUUGAAGUCGAGCCGCUCAAACUCGAGUUACUAACCGAGUCGCGAAUAUUCGACCCGCAAAACAGGCCCCACAAAACUCGGUCCACUGAUUUCGCGUCUUUGACACUCCGCGUCACUUCCUCAGCGAUCAGACGUGAGGGAACUCGCCCGCGUAAAAAUAUAGCUCGUGUCCCCUCGGUACUACCGCAAACAUCGCGACAAUUAGACGUGAGAAAACGCACGAUUGCUUAAGCUCGCAAUUCGUAUUCCUCUUGGAUACAUACUUUCUAGACGCGAUGACGCGACUGCAAUGAGAACACUUGUCGCGCAGAGAAGCAGUCGGAAGCCGCGAUUUCUCGAUAUGCACUACGCUAUUCGGCGACGAUGAUUGGAUUCAUCAGCCGAUCCAAGAAAUAGUUUUUCAAAAUCAAUCGGUCCUGUGCGAAUCGCUAAAAUUUCGUACUCAAAUUUCAUUUAGCGGACCGGCAACGCGACUCGUCGAACGACAACGCGUAAAACAACGCGAGUAUCGGAUUAUACUCGUUGCCGGCGUCACUUUCGUUAUUUAUGCUCGGGCAUACGGCGGCGUUAGGUUUAAUUUAAUUUGCGUCGUUGAUCUCGGAAUGUUCGUUCGGCCGUGCCGCGCGAAAUAUCAGAGCGCGGCGCGCCCGUAAUUGAAUCUGUAACGGCGAGCAAAUCAGCGCGCGGCCGGCGCGAUCAUUACGUUACACGAGUCGCACGACGUCGAUCGACGUUCGUUAGUCAAUCGUUCGCUUAAUUGCCCGGAGGCCACACAAUAGAACCGUUUGAGCCGCAGCUUUGUGUUUAAAGCGUUAAAUAAACGCCGGCUCGGCCAGGUGGUCGAUCUAAUGGACUAUUGUGCCAAAUCUCUGUUAUUACUAUCAUUUUUCCGGCGAAUUCGCCCAGAUGGCCACGGGACGAAACAACGUUUUACCAUACGGCUCGUUAGUCGAAUCAGCUCGUCGAUGAGCUCACAAACGCGCGGGGACGCGUUGUGGGAGAUCGAACGACUGGCAGUUCCUGCGCGAAUUCCACGAACAUCGCACCCAGUACGCGAAUUGUCUGCUUCUUACAUUCGCAACGAGCUUGCGUGUACGUGCGCGGAGAGCGCAUGUGAGGAAUGUACAAAUGCUGGCGAGUACCUCUCGUCGAAUUAUCGCGAAAACUUGGUGUUUAAUAUAAUAACAAAACGUACAAGUAAUGUAUCAUUGUAUUCGCGAAACACGCGCCCUUCACACAGUCGAACGUUUACCGCGAUAUUAUUUUACCAUUCGGACAAUUCGAGAUCGUGUCUCUGUGUUUCGAGUGAUUAAUUUACUAUUUGUUCUCGCCAGGUUAAGAUAUUAAAGCCCCGGGCUACGCACGAUAUGCGCUUCACUGAGCAACUCGUGAGGACCAUCCAGCCGGCUCACCUUUUGCAUUUAUACCUGGGAUAAAUAAACCGUGCAAGUAACUCCGCGCGGCGUUUCGGCGAAACGGAAAAGUUAGUCGUGGACGAGCUCGCUGCGGCUCAAACGAAACUCGCUGGACGCGGCGCUUCGGACGCUGCAUCAUUACACGAGGAGGACGAGGGACGAGCGGCGCAAAUUUGCCGUUGGUGCGUCAGCCGCGACGCCGCGAUAAUUGGGUUUUACUUCAGGCUCGCUUGAAUAAUCCAAACGGCGCGCAAAGUGCACAUCGCGCGUCCUUGCGCGCCGCGAUCCCGCCCGCAGGAGCCGCGCGCGACAUUAGCGUCACCGUCGCGGGCGGGUGACAAAUUUUGCAAAGCGCCCUUCGGUCCACCCUCUCCGCCCUCUCUCGGUAUCGGGGAAUUAUUAAUGCGUUUCCCGAAAGUGGUUACGAGGCGAACGAGCGAGCGAGCGAACGCGUGCGAAAUUAGCGAGCUGCAAAACGGCGCGCUCGGCUACAAGCGGAUUCCGAUCGAGAUAAUGAAAAUUAACGACGUUAAAGCGCCGUCACGCCUGCAAUUAAUUAUCGCCCGGAAGCGGCCCGUGGCUGCUGCCGAUCGGUCCACGGCUGCGCCGGACCCUCGUCUCUUCUCUUCUCUCUAUUGCUACAACAUAAUCGCGAUAUCAAUCCUUCAUUAAUUCCCCGACCAAAGGACGGCCCGUCGUCCAGGACUCCUCCAUGCGCGAGCGCGAUUAAUUCUGCGGGGUGCUCUAUAAGGCUUCACAGAGGAUGUCCCGCCAUCGCCUGAUAUUAAUGACGCGUCACCUGUGUUAAUGUACAGUUUUAUGGUCAGAAGAGCCGCGCGGAGCGUGGCUGUCGAGACUCAUCGGUCGAGAAUCGCCCGCUCUGCGUUCACCUCAUGUUUGUUGGAUUAGAUUUUGCGACGAUUGUGCCGCCCACGAUCUUUGCAGGAUAAAAUUUGCAAAUACAGACAUUAGCGGAGACCGUUGAGUAAUGAUAUCGAUUAUCGUUAUUCUGUUCAUUAUUUCGACUUGCGACCCGUUCAUCAUCUAUUCGGCGUAAUGCGCUCCAUUGUACAAAUAAAAAGGAUCUUCAUAACGCGCGUUAAUACACAUGAUCUCGAUUUCGACGAUAAAGAGAAUAGGGUUAGAGAGGACACGAAGUUACAGUGGAUAAUUCAAAUUCCAUGCUUAAAUAAAGAGGAGCAAUUCUGGAAGAUAUACACACACCGUUGGGGCGCAUUUCGCUUUACUGUCAUUAUAUAGAGUUUCCGGGGGACAGUCUUUGUACACAUAAAGAGAGAGAGAGAGAGAGAGAAUCAUCGAGCUCAAUGAAUUAUACAUCGCGCUACAGCGGCACCCUCGCUACCAAGUUCCUCGCGGUGGAUAGCCGCCGUCACACGCGCGCGAGAUAAGACCAGCAAACGGAACUCUUAAUAAAACGAUAGUGAUAGCUAAACAUCCCGGCAGCGUGACGACCACUUCCCUUUCGUUGGGCGACGAUCCAAAGUCGUUCGAGUUGAUUGUUCAUUACAUUCUGGGCCGCGCGUUUUCGGAAACUCAGACUUUUUUUCGCGUUUUUUACUCGAUGUCCACAUCACUCCACACACAUGAAUGUGAAUUAUCCAAAGCAUAAAUGAUAAGCUUUGUUUCAAGUAUCACCCUUGUAGCGUAAUAAAAUCUUUAAUUUCGCUAACAA